GCAGCCAUAGCUCAAUUGGAUAGAGCAUCUGACUACGGAUCAGAAGGUUAGGGGUUCGACUCCCUUUGGCUGUA
This 74-nucleotide transfer RNA is filed under the name Chitinispirillales bacterium. Its description in RNAcentral is "tRNA-Arg". It matches the Rfam family "tRNA". Rfam says of the family: Transfer RNA (tRNA) molecules are approximately 80 nucleotides in length. The record is from RNAcentral. Lineage: Bacteria; Pseudomonadati; Fibrobacterota; Chitinispirillia; Chitinispirillales.